This 484-nucleotide ribosomal RNA is filed under the name uncultured bacterium. RNAcentral's name for it is "partial 16S ribosomal RNA". It matches the Rfam family "Bacterial small subunit ribosomal RNA", at positions 30 to 507 of the family's 1533-position model. The record is from RNAcentral.
AUUGAACGCUGGCGGCAGGCCUAACACAUGCAAGUCGAGCGGAUGAAGGGAGCUUGCUCCUGGAUUCAGCGGCGGACGGGUGAGUAAUGCCUAGGAAUCUGCCUGGUAGUGGGGGAUAACGUCCGGAAACGGGCGCUAAUACCGCAUACGUCCUGAGGGAGAAAGUGGGAGAUCUUCGGACCUCACGCUAUCAGAUGAGCCUAGGUCGGAUUAGCUAGUUGGUGGGGUAAAGGCCUACCAAGGCGACGAUCCGUAACUGGUCUGAGAGGAUGAUCAGUCACACUGGAACUGAGACACGGUCCAGACUCCUACGGGAGGCAGCAGUGGGGAAUAUUGGACAAUGGGCGAAAGCCUGAUCCAGCCAUGCCGCGUGUGUGAAGAAGGUCUUCGGAUUGUAAAGCACUUUAAGUUGGGAGGAAGGGCAGUAAGUUAAUACCUUGCUGUUUUGACGUUACCAACAGAAUAGGCACCGGCUAACUUCGUG